UGGGGAAUCUUCCGCAAUGGACGAAAGUCUGACGGAGCAACGCCGCGUGAGUGAUGACGGCCUUCGGGUUGUAAAGCUCUGUUAAUCGGGACGAAUGGUUCUUGCGCGAAUAGUGCAAGGAUUUGACGGUACCGGAAUAGAAAGCCACGGCUAACUACGUGCCAGCAGCCGAGGUAAUACGUAGGUGGCAAGCGUUGUCCGGAAUUAUUGGGCGUAAAGCGCGCGCAGGCGGAUUGGUCAGUCUGUCUUAAAAGUUCGGGGCUUAACCCCGUGAUGGGAUGGAAACUGCCAAUCUAGAGUAUCGGAGAGGAAAGUGGAAUUCCUAGUGUAGCGGUGAAAUGCGUAGAUAUUAGGAAGAACACCAGUGGCGAAGGCGACUUUCUGGACGAAAACUGACGCUGAGGCGCGAAAGCCAGGGGAGCGAACGGG
Molecule: ribosomal RNA, 429 nt
Filed under: bacterium
Lineage: Bacteria
Description: partial 16S ribosomal RNA
Rfam family: Bacterial small subunit ribosomal RNA
Source: RNAcentral